Molecule: long non-coding RNA, 347 nt
Organism: Propithecus coquereli (Coquerel's sifaka)
Lineage: Eukaryota; Metazoa; Chordata; Mammalia; Primates; Indriidae
Exons: 2
Source: RefSeq, a predicted model, not a curated record
AAACCAUGAGGUUAUCUGUGUGACAGACACAGAGAUGUGCUAUCCAGAUACUCCUUUCAAGGAGGAACUUGCUGCCUCCUGUUCAGUUCUUUCCUGGAGCUUUCAAGCCUCUUUGCAGGAAGUAACACCCUUCCUAGGGCAACCUGACUAAGCAAGGUGGGGGGAGAAGUUUAACGGGGAUGAGGCAUCCUGGAACAUCCAGGUGGCAACAUGGCGUAGGGCAAAUCAGAGAUGACUAUUUCUAGGCCAUGAAACACCAGCAGGAUCUAUGAUGGCUGAGAAAUGACAAUAUUGGUGAAUUAAGUACAUCUCAGGGAGAAGCCUUAUUAAAUUAGCCUAAUACCUUA